CAACUGGUUUAUUUGAUCGAACUGUCCAAAAGAACCGGUUCACUUGAGUACCUGCUCCUUUGCCCCUUAAGUGUCCUUUUGUCAAAGCAAAAUUUCCUCGAAUUUUUUUUUGUAAUAACAUUCCCUUUUGUGAAUGCCUGUCCACGCCUAAUCAUAAUAUUAGUACAAUUUAUUAAUAAUAAUUUAGCCGUAAAUAAAAUGACCAACAUGAUGACCUUUCACCUGACGACCUCAUCCGACCGGGACGAUUCCUCACACCACACGCGCAUUUUUUAAUUGCUAGAGGAUAUUUUCAACACCGUGGCAGUUGGUCUUGCAUUCAUGAGCAAGGAGAAGAAAGAAGGCCUGAGGCAUCUCAGCACGACGCUACAGGUUUAUCUCAGUGAGGAGAACCACGAUUUGUCUCUGUUUCCGCCUGGCCUGGACCCCAUCUGCCUCCUCACCAGAAUGAGGUCUAGAUGGGGUCAUGAUGGUACGGGGGAAUUUCCGUUACUAAAGGCCUAUUAAAAUACAACCCAGUGGCGUUUCUUCAAGACGACAUGGAAUGACAUUCACAAAGCACUGUGCUUCUGAUGAAGUAGAAAAUGUAAAGCAUGGCGUGAUUUUAUUCACUGGGAUUGAUUGAUUGUUAAAUGUUAGGCUAUGAUAUUAUUAUUAGAUAUUUUUUUAAGGCAGGUAUUUUUUUUUCUACGUCUCUACUCUUAACCCUAUUAAUGUCCUUUGGUGUAUUAAACUUUGGC
This is a long non-coding RNA of Carassius carassius (crucian carp), 740 nucleotides long. RefSeq lists it as uncharacterized. The record is from RefSeq and is a predicted model, not a curated record. Lineage: Eukaryota; Metazoa; Chordata; Actinopteri; Cypriniformes; Cyprinidae. The transcript has 3 exons.